AAAAGCUCGGGGUUUCGCGUCUCUGAACUCCGGUGGUGGCGGACUUGAACAGGCACUUUUUUUUUUGUUACGACGAGCUAAAUAGAGCAAAUUAUUGUUUUUUGUUUGUUUUUUAGCUGCGUAACUUUACAAAGAGCGCUCAAUAGCUAACGGAUAAUAAGGACUCCAAAAAUAUUUUAUGAACGUUUUUUGUAACUGAAAUACAGGAGGAAAAAUGCGACUAGCUAAUUACCACAUCUUAAAGUUACGUGAUAUGUACGCUGUUGUACACAUCAUCAUCCACAAAAGACAACACCUGCGUAAGUGCCACCCAAACAGGUUUUCCAGGUCAGCUCCAGAGUAAAGCUUUGUCUUUGCAGCCAGCUCCUCCAGACAGACGCGUGAAUCCACAGGCAUAGACUUUGUGCAAACUUUUAGGAUGGCGAGUCGAGCCUUAACACAGGACCUUAUCUGCUCCCCUCCUCUCCACCGUCUUCAGGCCGAUCCCAUCCAUCUCAUUCAGCAGCACAGAGAGCAGCCGGGUCUGUACA
This is a long non-coding RNA of Poeciliopsis prolifica (blackstripe livebearer), 530 nucleotides long. RefSeq lists it as uncharacterized. NCBI's taxonomy places the organism in Eukaryota, Metazoa, Chordata, Actinopteri, Cyprinodontiformes, Poeciliidae. The transcript is spliced from 3 exons. The record is from RefSeq and is a predicted model, not a curated record.